This 230-nucleotide long non-coding RNA is filed under the name Vitis vinifera (wine grape). Its description in RNAcentral is "long non-coding RNA (VVIN_LNC005374)". The record is from RNAcentral. Lineage: Eukaryota; Viridiplantae; Streptophyta; Magnoliopsida; Vitales; Vitaceae.
UUUUAGAGGGAGCUUUGAUCCUUAGUGUGGCUUCAGAGGCAUUUUGAGACACCCAUCUUUCUCUUUUAGGAUUAGAGCCUUUGUGUUUGUCUUUUGGCCUGAGUGAGUUCACAUCUCACUAGUGUCCCUAUGGGGGUCUCCUUGGUUCUUCGGUAGAGUUCACUUCAUUCCACUCACUAUUCACACUUACCUUUCACUUCAGUGUUCAUAUUCUUUACACUCGUGAACUC